GCGACAAGGACAGCUUGAUCUGAGGGACUACUUCGGCUUUAAGAGGACAAAAAGUACCACCGAAGAGCAGGAUAAUCAUGGCGAGGAAGCAGGAAGGAGAGCAGAGGAGCCUAGAGCUGGAGAAGGAACAG
Gadus morhua (Atlantic cod) is the source of this 131-nucleotide long non-coding RNA. RefSeq lists it as uncharacterized. Lineage: Eukaryota; Metazoa; Chordata; Actinopteri; Gadiformes; Gadidae. The record is from RefSeq and is a predicted model, not a curated record. The transcript has 2 exons.